Pelobates cultripes (western spadefoot toad) is the source of this 329-nucleotide non-coding RNA. The record is from the annotation of a GenBank genome assembly. Lineage: Eukaryota; Metazoa; Chordata; Amphibia; Anura; Pelobatidae.
GCCCAUAAUGUCUGUUAGCCGCGAGGCUAACAAGACAUUUGCCUUGGGCAUUUGGGGGGCGGCGUUUUUUGCCGCCCCCUGAAAAAUGCCGCCCAAGGCAAAUGCCUUGUUUGCCUCGCGGCUAAUACGCCCCUGGGUAUACAGUGUAUGUAUAUUAUAUUUAUAUAGCGCUAACAGGUGUACUCAGCACUUUACAGGUUACAUUACAGUAGAGGGAGGUAUAGUAAGUGCAGUAGGUAUACAGUGUAUGUAUAUUUUAUUUAUAUAGCGCUAACAGGUGUACUCAGCACUUUACAGGUUACAUUACAGUAGAGGGAGGUACAAAUAAU